RNAcentral lists this ribosomal RNA (468 nucleotides) under uncultured bacterium. Its description in RNAcentral is "partial 16S ribosomal RNA". It matches the Rfam family "Bacterial small subunit ribosomal RNA", at positions 28 to 507 of the family's 1533-position model. The record is from RNAcentral.
GACGAACGCUGGCGGCGUGCUUAACACAUGCAAGUCGAACGGAAAGGCCCUGAUUUUGUGGUGUGCUGGAGUGCCGAUCGCGUGAGUGACACGUGUAUAACCUGCCCUUGUCUUUGGGAUAACUUCAGGAAACUGGGGCUACUACCGGAUAGGAGCUCCUGCUGCAGGGUGGGGGUGGGAUAUUUUCGGCGGUUGGGGAUGGACUGGCGGGUAAUCAGUUUGCUGGUGGGGUAGUGGCUUACCAAGGCUUUGGCCGGUAGCCGGCUUGGGGGGGUGACCGGCCACAAGGCGACUGAGAUACGGCCCAGACGGCUACGUGAGGCAGCGGUGGCGAAUAUUGCACAAUGGGCCGAAGCCUGAUACAGCAGCGUCGGGUUCGGAAAGACGGUUUGUUGGGAAUAAACAGCAUCAGCCUGUGACGCAGCGGGAGUGACGGUAAUGGGUAAAGAAGCACCGGCUAACUACGUG